This 497-nucleotide ribosomal RNA is filed under the name uncultured bacterium. RNAcentral describes it as "partial 16S ribosomal RNA". It matches the Rfam family "Bacterial small subunit ribosomal RNA", at positions 28 to 507 of the family's 1533-position model. The record is from RNAcentral.
GACGAACGCUGGCGGCGUGCCUAAUACAUGCAAGUUGAGCGCUGAAGGUUGGUACUUGUACCGACUGGAUGAGCAGCGAACGGGUGAGUAACGCGUGGGGAAUCUGCCUUUGAGCGGGGGACAACAUUUGGAAACGAAUGCUAAUACCGCAUAAAAACUUUAAACACAAGUUUUAAGUUUGAAAGAUGCAAUUGCAUCACUCAAAGAUGAUCCCGCGUUGUAUUAGCUAGUUGGUGAGGUAAAGGCUCACCAAGGCGAUGAUACAUAGCCGACCUGAGAGGGUGAUCGGCCACAUUGGGACUGAGACACGGCCCAAACUCCUACGGGAGGCAGCAGUAGGGAAUCUUCGGCAAUGGACGAAAGUCUGACCGAGCAACGCCGCGUGAGUGAAGAAGGUUUUCGGAUCGUAAAACCCUGUUGGUAGAGAAGAACGUUGGUGAGAGUGGAAAGCUCAUCAAGUGACGGUAACUACCCAGAAAGGGACGGCUAACUACGUG